UGAAGAGUAACUGCGGCCCGGAGUGCACGGUCCAGUCCACCGCGCCACUAUUUGGAAUCUUGAUGCGAAUCACCAGCACCUGGUUCUCCAUGGCACGGAAGGGGCCAAGGGCCAGCCACAGCAUUACAGUAUUGGAGGUUCAAGGGCAUGGUGAUGACAUCAGCUUGACCCUGGUGAGGAACUCAGGGCUACUCGUACCACAAUGAAGAGAUUACUUAUGUACCAAGAAGAGACUGCAACUCAAAACAGGAGGCCAAAGAGACCAGGUUCCCACACUUCCUUCCAAGAGCACAAUCCUAAUGACUUGCAGAGCUUCUACCAGACUUCACCUUUUAAAGGUGUUUUGUCUGCAUGUAUGCAAGUGCACCUGUGUCACGCAAUGCCAU
This is a long non-coding RNA of Nannospalax galili (Upper Galilee mountains blind mole rat), 386 nucleotides long. RefSeq lists it as uncharacterized. The transcript is spliced from 3 exons. The record is from RefSeq and is a predicted model, not a curated record. NCBI's taxonomy places the organism in Eukaryota, Metazoa, Chordata, Mammalia, Rodentia, Spalacidae.